Long non-coding RNA from Mesocricetus auratus (golden hamster), 1264 nucleotides. RefSeq lists it as uncharacterized. The record is from RefSeq and is a predicted model, not a curated record. The transcript has 2 exons. Lineage: Eukaryota; Metazoa; Chordata; Mammalia; Rodentia; Cricetidae.
UGCAGAUAAGUGAUACACAUGGGCUGAGGAAAAACCUGAAGAGAUACCUUGACGUAGAACAAUUGACAAUAGCAUUCACAUCCAAGAUGCUGAAUUUGACGUACCUUUUAGAAACUUGAAUUUCUUAAGAAGAUCAGCACCUACAAAAGAGUCACAGAGGUACAAGAGAAGUCCACUGAAAAACACCCCUUCACAAUUGACGUUGUUGGAGUGGGGUCUGGAACUGAUGUAGCAUAUGGAUACCUGAAAGUAGUAAGCAGAAAAAACAUGUCAAAAGCAAAGAAAGGGGCUGUACUUUUGCCUAGGAGCACUAUAGUCAAUGCCUUCCUCUUCAGUUCGGAUGCAAGGUGAAAGCCAAGCUUUCUCAGUGUAAGUGGGUUGGUUAUUCAAGCUUUGUACUUAUUUAGGAGUAAAAUUAGUAUAUCAUUUUUACGACAGAAAUAUUAAGAAGCUCGUGUGUGUGUGUGUGUGUGUGUGUGUGUGUGUGUGUGUGUGUGUGUGUGUGUGAGAGAAUUUUUUAAUGCUUUACAUUCUGGGGCUAGAGAGUUAGCUCGGUGGUUAAGAGCACUGGCUGCUCUUUCAGAGGCCCCUGGGUUUAUCCCUGGCAUCCACAAUGGUACCUCACAAUCAUCUGUGAUCCUCCACCCCCCUCUGGCCUCCGUGGGCACCAGGCAUGUACAUGAUGCACAUACAGAUAAAAUGCCCAUAUGCCCCAACACAUAAAUAGUAAAACAAAACAAUACCACAUUCCAUAAAAAGGCACACAUAAGAAAGACUAGAUAUUUCACUUUGAAAGCUUAAGACAACAUGAAUUAAUUUUUAGAUUCUUAUGGCUUCCAUGCCUAGACAAUAACCACAAACACUGCAGGAAAGCAGCAGGAUAGUAGAACAGUGGAGUAGCUAAACUUGGCUUGAAUUCAAACACUGGUUCCUUCAGUUAGUUGUCAUGUGGCAUAUAGUUCCUCAUCUACAUAGGUAAGAAAACCUGUUGGAUAGAAUUAUUUUUGAAUUAUUAAUAUAGUCUCUUCAGUAUUCAGCAAGUAUUAGCUGCUGUUAGUAUUGAGAUUAUUGGCAUAUGGUUGGUUCUUAUGUUUUAUGGCAGAAUCUCACUCUGUAACCCCAGCUAGCUCCUGGAAUGCUGGGUUUACAGACAUGUGCCUCCAUACUCAGCCAUCAUCUGAUUUUAAAAUUUGUAGUUAUAAAAUUAAUGGUGUAACACACAGCAUGGAUUAUUAACAUUAAAUUAGAUUUAGUUUAUUGAAUG